AAAAUCCGUCGACUUUAAAAAUCGUGAGGGUUCAAGUCCUCUAUCCCCSA
Molecule: transfer RNA, 50 nt
Filed under: Sclerophylax kurtzii
Lineage: Eukaryota; Viridiplantae; Streptophyta; Magnoliopsida; Solanales; Solanaceae
Description: partial tRNA-Leu
Source: RNAcentral